ACUCAACUACAAGAAAUUG
RNAcentral lists this transfer RNA (19 nucleotides) under Favonigobius lateralis (southern longfin goby). RNAcentral's name for it is "partial tRNA-Glu". The record is from RNAcentral. Lineage: Eukaryota; Metazoa; Chordata; Actinopteri; Gobiiformes; Gobiidae.